CUUCUACUCCCUCCGUUCCAAAUUACUCGUCACAGAAAUGGAUGUAUCUAGAACUAAAAUACAUCUAAAUACAUCUAUACCUGCAACAAGUAAUUCGGAACGGAGGGAGUAGUUG
Non-coding RNA from Triticum aestivum (bread wheat), 115 nucleotides. Lineage: Eukaryota; Viridiplantae; Streptophyta; Magnoliopsida; Poales; Poaceae. The record is from Rfam.